RNAcentral lists this ribosomal RNA (535 nucleotides) under uncultured bacterium. RNAcentral describes it as "bacterial SSU rRNA". It matches the Rfam family "Bacterial small subunit ribosomal RNA", at positions 115 to 643 of the family's 1533-position model. The record is from RNAcentral.
GCAUCGGAACGUGCCCAUUUGUGGGGGAUAACUACGCGAAAGCGUGGCUAAUACCGCAUACGCCCUGAGGGGGAAAGCGGGGGAUUCUUCGGAACCUCGCGCAAUUGGAGCGGCCGAUGUCAGAUUAGCUUGUUGGUGAGGUAAAAGGCUCACCAAGGCGACGAUCUGUAGCGGGUCUGAGAGGAUGAUCCGCCACACUGGGACUGAGACACGGCCCAGACUCCUACGGGAGGCAGCAGUGGGGAAUUUUGGACAAUGGGGGCAACCCUGAUCCAGCCAUGCCGCGUGAGUGAAGAAGGCCUUCGGGUUGUAAAGCUCUUUCAGCCGGGAAGAAAACGCACUCUCUAACAUAGGGUGUGGAUGACGGUACCGGAAGAAGAAGCACCGGCUAACUACGUGCCAGCAGCCGCGGUAAUACGUAGGGUGCGAGCGUUAAUCGGAAUUACUGGGCGUAAAGGGUGCGCAGGCGGUUUUGUAAGACAGAUGUGAAAUCCCCGGGCUUAACCUGGGAACUGCGUUUGUGACUGCAAGGCUA